AUACGGAGGGUGCAAGCGUUACUCGGAAUCACUGGGCGUAAAGCGCGCGCAGGCGGCUAUUUAAGUUGGAUGUGAAAGCCUACGGCUCAACCGUAGAACUGCAUCCAAAACUAUUUAGCUAGAGUGGGGGAGAGGAAGAUGGAAUUAGUUGUGUAGGGGUAAAAUCCGUAGAGAUAACUAGGAAUACCAAAAGCGAAGGCAAUCUUCUGGAACACUACUGACGCUGAGGCGCGAAAGCGUGGGGAGCAAACAGGAUUAGAUACCCUAGUAGUCC
Molecule: ribosomal RNA, 274 nt
Filed under: uncultured bacterium
Lineage: Bacteria
Description: partial 16S ribosomal RNA
Rfam family: Bacterial small subunit ribosomal RNA
Source: RNAcentral